UGUUAAAAAUUGCAUCCAUUUGUACUAUUAAAAAUUGGAGUGGUUGAAGGAAUAACCAUAUUUGAGACAUGGUGUGCCACGAGUAUCUCAUGUUGACGUAUAGGGGCUAGUUUUUAACAUUAGAAAUGGAUGAAAAAUUUAAGA
Molecule: non-coding RNA, 144 nt
Organism: Gossypium hirsutum (cotton)
Lineage: Eukaryota; Viridiplantae; Streptophyta; Magnoliopsida; Malvales; Malvaceae
Source: Rfam